CUCCCGCGCUAAGAAAUCUCCGCCGCAUUAUUUUACCCGGGCAAAAACAAUUUAUAGAAAAUGGAGAAACCACAAGUUGAAAAUGGGAAAGAAACCGUGAGCCACGUUCAUCGUUAACCUCCGCCCACAACUCUGUGCGCAUCGCCAAAUCCCUGGCUGACCAUACUCCCCUCCAUGCCACCUCCCCCAUUACCCCGCGCCGUCUCUUCCCCAAUCCUCCGCAGCGCCUCCUUGCUUCGCAAAUCCCCCGCCGCACCAGAUUUCGCAGAUGACAGCGACUGGCGUGUGGGUCGUCCGAGGUGGCCAGCGGAGGGCACCUUCGUUGUGCCGCAAGUGACUACCGGUCUACGCGGGUCGGUGCGUGCAGGAGGACAGGGUCCUCAGAAUGGUGACAAACAAUAGGGAAGGAGACGAAGGUAGUGGAGCCGUAGGACGAUGGUGCUGGGCAACGACCAAAGUGUACCCUUUCCCUCCUAUGCCUUCGCCACGGCCACAGUAUUCAAACACCUCAGGUGUGUAUGCGUCUUCCAUUGCUUUGUACCCAUGAAACGGAAUUUCAACAGUAAUCUUCUCUGGAUCUGGCCAUCAAGGGCAUUGCGUGCCGACCCUUCUAACUCAAUUUUCAGAGUCCAAGUAAACUGCAUCUUCGUUAUGCCAAUUUCUGUAAUAUUUCCUCUUCUCAUAUAAAAUCUGAAAAUAAUAUGUUGUAGCUUAUGGCCUGAUUAAAAUAAUUGCUACAGAUUGACUUCGGUGGGCAAAAAAAUAAAAUACUCUCGUUGCUAAAGAUUUACUAAUAUGCAUGUUCACGAGGUUGACAUACUUCAGUUUGGAUGCAUAAAUCUCAUUGCUGUUUAACUUCACCAACGGUUGGUCAUUUUAUAUACGGCCUUUAUUGUCUCCAUAGCAGUCGGCCAAAUAAUAACUAUUGCAAUAGUUAGGAUGUGAAGUGAUUUUGUUAGCAGUGAAUGCUGAUUACUAAUAUUAUGGUUUCCUAUUAUUUAGGUCCUUGAAAUGGACACCUACAGGCUUGUUUUCGUGUUGCGGUUCUUGUUGAUACUCGGUCGGCGGUGAGGCAAUCCUGGGCUUCUCCCGCAUCAUGAGGAAUCCUGGGGCAGCGGCUCCGGGUAUGGUGGUGGUGUCCGUCUCCUUCCGUCAGAGGCGGUCGGCCAGAUUAUCUCCUGAUCCCACAUCUGGUCCUAGCAGCGAGUUUGAAGAUGCGUGGCUGCCGGUGAAAACCGUGCUCCGACCCCGGUCAUGGCGGGCGAUGGCGACGUCACAUGUCGUAACCUUCUUAAAGGCACUGUCGUCGCAUUUUGCGUCUUCUCAAUCUUGCUGCUCCGGGGGAAACCCUAGAUCUGGGUCUCCUAGAUCGGACGAUGGCGACGCUAUCUGCGCCGUUCUACCUCUCGUGGCAUCGUUUUUGGAGCAGCUGCUGGACGGUGGUGGGUUGCAGUGGUGUGGUGUUCAUCUACCGUAUCAUGGUUGGCGAGUCGCGGCGGUGUUUCGGUGAUGGAUGCGGGAUGAUGGACGCGCGCACGAUGGAUGUGCUAUCCGGCUUCUUGGUGGCGGGCCUAGCAAAGGUCAAUGCGUUCAUCACCCUUGGAGAUGGGUUUGAGGAAGACGGCGGUAGCGAUUUCUACAGUGUGUGUGCUGGCGUGCGCCGAGAGUCCGCUUUGACUGGUUGUGCUUCUCACCUGCCAAUGGGCGGCUUCGGAAGUCAUUUGGUUUUUAGAUGACGUGUGUUGUUAUAAUGACAGAUCUUAUUUUUCAGGAUCGCUUGCUAGAAGAUUGACACCCAAAUUGUUGGCGUUUGUUUGUCUUGAUGUCUACCUUUUGUGCUUGUGAAAAGGACCACUUCCUAAUUGGAGAUGAGACUGAUCGCAUCAUAGAACCCUGGCGACGUACGAAAAGCCUCACAUCUUCUUGACAAUGAACUGCAACCCAAACUAGCAAGAGAUCCAGGACAAACCCUGCAACACCAACCAGAUCGUGUGGCUUAUGUUCAGGUCGAAAAUGGGGAUGGUGAAAGAGAUGCUAAUGAAGAAGCAUGUUUCGGGUGUUCUAAAGGCUGAUGUCUAUAUAUGUGGUAGAGAUCCAGGAGAGGGGCCUCCCCCAUGCUCAUUUCAUAUUGAUGUAGCUGGACCACAUUUGAGCAACGUUCUCGAUGAUCAUUGGUCUUUGAAAAUGUAAUGUGUGCCAACAGAUUUGUGACAUAUAUAUAUGUGCAUUUGGAAUUUUGAAUUA
Lolium perenne is the source of this 2244-nucleotide non-coding RNA. NCBI's taxonomy places the organism in Eukaryota, Viridiplantae, Streptophyta, Magnoliopsida, Poales, Poaceae. The record is from RefSeq and is a predicted model, not a curated record.